This is an RNA transcript of Mangifera indica (mango), 924 nucleotides long. RefSeq lists it as uncharacterized. The transcript has 4 exons. Lineage: Eukaryota; Viridiplantae; Streptophyta; Magnoliopsida; Sapindales; Anacardiaceae. The record is from RefSeq and is a predicted model, not a curated record.
GCUGGGUUUGGGAAUAUUAAUGCUUUUUAUCUUUGAUUUGGAUUUUUUUUUAAUGUUCAUUCUUCGGUUUUUCAAAUAAUAUGUGGUGGACUUGAUACAUAUAGGAAGUGAAAUUAUGCCCGUUAUAAGAUUUAAAAAAAAAAAAUGGCCGUUGGUGAUGGUUUCCAUGUGCUUAAAUCAGACCAAACAUACUGAAUAUCCUUCGCCUGCCUGCCCCUUUGUAUCUUUGAAUCCGUUUCAUUCUUUCUCAGUAUCUCUUUCUUUGAUCUUUUUAAUUUCAAAACUUAACUAUACUUGCAGAUCAGUUUCUUCUCUAGCUUCACUUUGGAUCUGCAAAGGCGCUUCCUCUCCUUCCCACAUCGACUUGAAGCUGCGUAAGGUUGACUCUGGAGAUGCACAUAUUCAGUUCUUUUAUAUGGAAGUGGUGCAUUGGUUGCUGUGUGGUUGGCAUCAGCAAUUGUCAAUGCUGUGGAUUCUAUGCACAUAUUCAGUUCUUUUAUAUGGAAGUGGUGCAUUGGUUGCUGUGUGGUUGGCAUCAGCAAUUGUCAAUGCUGUGGAUUCUAUUCCUUUGGUGGUCUGUUGUUGCUGAUGGAACUAGCAUUUCUAUUAAGAGGUGUUGGUACUGAGGUGUAUUGGAUGACAAUCUAGAAGCCGUCUGAAGAAGAUGAGGUGAUAUACAGUUUGGAACAUAAGAUGUUGAAUCAAGGGGUGCAGCCCGCAGUUUUGUGUGCAACCAAAAUUUUACUAUUUUUUCGGUUGAUUUAUAAUGAUUUGGGGAGAAUAUACAGGGGAAAAUCAUCACAAAGUAGGAAUUGGGGUAUGCAGCUUUAUCUUUUUGACAAGCAACUAUGGAAAAUGAAGGAUAAUAUCUACUCCUUCAGAGUAUGCAACUUUUGUUAUGGUGGUCAGAGAAUGCAAUCUUUG